UUUCCGUAGGUGAACCUGCGGAAGGAUCAUUAUUGUAUAACCGAGGUGCGAGGGCUGUCGCUGUCCCGAAAGGUCGUGCACGCCCGAGUGCCCUCACACACAUCCAUCUCACCCCUAUGUGCACCACCGCGUGGGUCCCCCUUUGGCUUGUUCGGAGGGGGGCUUACGUUUUCACACAAACUCUGUAUGCAGUGUAGAAUGUAUUUUUUGUUUUUGCGAUCACGCAAUCAAUACAACUUUCAACAACGGAUCUCUUGGCUCUC
This 263-nucleotide unclassified non-coding RNA is filed under the name plant metagenome. Its description in RNAcentral is "partial contains small subunit ribosomal RNA, internal transcribed spacer 1, and 5.8S ribosomal RNA". The record is from RNAcentral.